Molecule: ribosomal RNA, 497 nt
Filed under: uncultured bacterium
Lineage: Bacteria
Description: partial 16S ribosomal RNA
Rfam family: Bacterial small subunit ribosomal RNA
Source: RNAcentral
GAUGAACGCUGGCGGCGUGCCUAAUACAUGCAAGUCGAGGGAACGGACGAGAAUCUUGCUUCUCUGGCUUUAGCGGCGGACGGGGGAGUAACACGUGGAUAACCUAUCUAUAAGACUGGGAUAACUUCGGGAAACCGGAGCUAAUACCGGAUGAUAUUUUAAACCGUAUGGUUCAAAUGUUAAAGACGGUCUUGCUGUCACUGAUAGAUGGAUCCGCGUUUCAUUAGCUAGUUGGUAAGGUAACGGCUUACCAAGGCAACGAUGCAUAGCCGACCUGAGAGGGUGAUACGACCAACCGGAACUGAGAUACGGCCCAGACUCCUACGCGAGGCAGCGGUAGAGAAUCUUACGCAAUGCGAUGAAGCCUGAUGGGGCACAGCCGCGUGAGUUAUGAAGUUCUUCGGAUCGUAAAACUCUGUUAUUAGGGUAGAACAUAAGUGUAGGUAACUCUGCACAUCUUGACGGUACCUUAUCAGAAAGCCCCGGCUAACUCCGUG